GAUGAACGCUGGCGGCGUGCCUAAUACAUGCAAGUCGAGCGAACAGACGAUGAGCUUGCUCCUCUGCCGUUGGCGACGGACGGGUGAGUGAGACGUGGAUAACCUACCUCUAAGACUGGGAUGACUUCGGGAGACCGGAGAUACUAACAGAUAAUAUAUUGAACCGGAUGGUUCAAUAGUGAUUGGGGGCUUUCGUGUUUCUUAUAGACGGAUUCGCGCCGGAUUAGCUAGUUGGUAAGGUAACGGCGUACCAAGGCGACGAUGCGUAGCCGACCGGAGAGGGUGAUCAGCCACACUGGAACUGAGACACGGUCCAGACUCCUACGGGAGGCAGCAGUGGGGAAUCUUCGGCAAAGGGCGAAAGCCUGACGCAGCAACGCCGCGUGAGUGAAGAAGGCCUUCGGAUCGUAAAGCUCUGUUAUUAGGGAAGAACAAAUGCGUAAGUAACUAUGCACGUCUUGACGGUACCUAAACAGAAAGCCACGGCUAACUACGUG
RNAcentral lists this ribosomal RNA (497 nucleotides) under uncultured bacterium. Its description in RNAcentral is "partial 16S ribosomal RNA". It matches the Rfam family "Bacterial small subunit ribosomal RNA", at positions 28 to 507 of the family's 1533-position model. The record is from RNAcentral.